GGGGGGGGGCAAGCGUUGUUCGGAAUUACUGGGCGUAAAGGGCGCGCAGGCGGCCUGACAAGUCCCUCGUGAAAUCCCACAGCUCAACUGUGGAACUGCGGGGGAUACUGCCGGGCUUGAGUCCGGGAGAGGAGAGUGGAAUUCCCAGUGUAGCGGUGAAAUGCGUAGAUAUUGGGAGGAACACCGGUGGCGAAGGCGGCUCUCUGGACCGGUACUGACGCUGAGGCGCGAAAGCUAGGGGAGCAAACGGGAUUAGAUACCCCGGUAGUCCUAGCUGUAAACGUUGAGCACUUGGUGUGGCGGGUAUCGACCCCUGCCGUGCCGAAGCUAACGCAUUAAGUGCUCCGCCUGGGGAGUACGGUCGCAAAGGCUGA
This 374-nucleotide ribosomal RNA is filed under the name uncultured organism. Its description in RNAcentral is "partial 16S ribosomal RNA". It matches the Rfam family "Bacterial small subunit ribosomal RNA", at positions 526 to 897 of the family's 1533-position model. The record is from RNAcentral.